This 319-nucleotide ribosomal RNA is filed under the name uncultured eukaryote. Its description in RNAcentral is "partial 18S ribosomal RNA". It matches the Rfam family "Eukaryotic small subunit ribosomal RNA", at positions 1470 to 1796 of the family's 1831-position model. The record is from RNAcentral.
CCCUUAGAUGUUCUGGGCAGCACGCGCGCUACAAUGGUCUUCGCAAACGGAUGCAUUCUCGAAGGAGAAUGCCAAUCUUGGAAUCUAUGCCUUGGUCGGGACAGUUGCUUGCAAUUUUUCGACUCGAACCAGGAAUUCCUUGUAAUCGUGAUUCAUCACAUCACGAUGAAUACGUCCCUGCCCUUUGUACACACCGCCCGUCGCUCCUACCGAUUGAACGAUCCGGUGAAUUAUUUGGAGUAGCUCUGGAAGUUGCAGAACUUCCUAUGUCACGAAAUUUUGUAAACCUUAUCGUUUAGAGGAAGGAAAAGUCGUAACA